Molecule: ribosomal RNA, 460 nt
Filed under: uncultured bacterium
Lineage: Bacteria
Description: partial 16S ribosomal RNA
Rfam family: Bacterial small subunit ribosomal RNA
Source: RNAcentral
CCUACGGGAGGCAGCAGUGAGGAAUAUUGGUCAAUGGGCGCUAGCCUGAACCAGCCAAGUAGCGUGAAGGAUGACUGCCCUAUGGGUUGUAAACUUCUUUUAUAUGGGAAUAAAGUGCAGUAUGUAUACUGCUUUGCAUGUACCUUAUGAAUAAGGAUCGGCUAACUACGUGCCAGCAGCCGCGGUAAUACGUAGGGGGCAAGCGUUAUCCGGAUUUACUGGGUGUAAAGGGAGCGUAGACGGCGCUGCAAGUCCGGAGUGAAAGCCCAUGGCUUAACCAUGGUACUGCUCUGGAAACUGUGGAGCUUGAGUGCGGGAGGGGCAGGCGGAAUUCCUAGUGUAGCGGUGAAAUGCGUAGAUAUUAGGAGGAACACCGGCGGCGAAGGCGGCCUGCUGGACCGUAACUGACGUUGAGGCUCGAAAGCGUGGGGAGCAAACAGGAUUAGAUACCCGAGUAGUC